GAUGAACGCUGGCGGCGUGCUUAACACAUGCAAGUCGAACGAAGCAUUUAAGACAGAUUACUUCGGUUUGAAGUCUUUUAUGACUGAGUGGCGGACGGGUGAGUAACGCGUGGGUAACCUGCCUUAUACAGGGGGAUAACAGUUGGAAACGACUGCUAAUACCGCAUAAGCGCACGGUAUCGCAUGAUACAGUGUGAAAAACUCCGGUGGUAUAAGAUGGACCCGCGUCUGAUUAGCUGGUUGGUGAGGUAACGGCCCACCAAGGCGACGAUCAGUAGCCGGACUGAGAGGUUGAACGGCCACAUUGGGACUGAGAUACGGCCCAGACUCCUACGGGAGGCAGCAGUGGGGAAUAUUGGGCAAUGGGCGCAAGCCUGACCCAGCAACGCCGCGUGAAGGAAGAAGGCUUUCGGGUUGUAAACUUCUUUGUCAGGGACGAGUAGAAGACGGUACCUGACGAAUAAGCCACGGCUAACUACGUG
Molecule: ribosomal RNA, 482 nt
Filed under: uncultured bacterium
Lineage: Bacteria
Description: bacterial SSU rRNA
Rfam family: Bacterial small subunit ribosomal RNA
Source: RNAcentral